GAUGAACGCUGGCGGCGUGCUUAACACAUGCAAGUCGAACGAUGAAGCCCAGCUUGCUGGGUGGAUUAGUGGCGAACGGGUGAGUAACACGUGAGUAACCUGCCCUUAACUCUGGGAUAAGCCUUGGAAACUGGGUCUAAUACCGGAUAGGAGCGUCCACCGCAUGGUGGGUGUUGGAAAGAUUUAUCGGUUUUGGAUGGACUCGCGGCCUAUCAGCUUUUUGGUGAGGUAAUGGCUCACCAAGGCGACGACGGGUAGCCGGCCUGAGAGGGUGACCGGCCACACUGGGACUGAGACACGGACCAGACUCCUACGGGAGGCAGCAGUGGGGAAUAUUGCACAAUGGGCGCAAGCCUGAUGCAGCGACGCCGCGUGAGGGAUGACGGCCUUCGGGUUGUAAACCUCUUUCAGUAGGGAAGAAGCGAAAGUGACGGUACCUGCAGAAGAAGCACCGGCUAACUACGUG
This 466-nucleotide ribosomal RNA is filed under the name uncultured bacterium. RNAcentral describes it as "partial 16S ribosomal RNA". It matches the Rfam family "Bacterial small subunit ribosomal RNA", at positions 28 to 507 of the family's 1533-position model. The record is from RNAcentral.